AUAUAGCAAUUUGAUGUCUAGAAAUUUUUUCACAGAGACCAUUAAACAAAUGUAAAUACAUCUGCCAUCAAAAGUGGUUAUCAGAUUGUGGGUUGCUGGGCGGCCCCGGUAGAAAGAGGCCCAGGAAGAGUAGUGCAGGUCCCUGAAUAAGUUUCCAAAAUGAUGCCCACACCAGUUAUUCUGUUAAAAGAAGGGACUGAUAGCUCCCAAGGAAUUCCCCAGCUCGUGAGUAACAUCAGUGCCUGCCAGGUGAUUGCUGAGGCUGUAAGAACUACCCUGGGUCCCCGUGGCAUGGAUAAGCUUAUUGUGGAUGGCCGAGGCAAAGCAACAAUUUCUGACGAUGGGGCCACAAUUCUGAAACUCCUUGAUGUUGUGCAUCCUGCAGCAAAGACUUUAGUGGACAUUGCCAAAUCCCAAGAUGCUGAGGUCAGUGAUGGCACCACCUCAGUGACCUUGCUGGCUGCAGAGUUUUGAAGCAGGUGAAACCAUAUGUGAGGAAGGUUUGCAUCCCUAGAUCAUCAUUUGAGCUUUCCGCACAGCCACCCAGUUGGCAGUUAACAAGAUCAAAGAAAUCGCUGUGACUGUGAAGAAGGCAGAUAAAGUGGAACAGAGGAAGCUGCUGGAAAAAUGUGCGAUGACUGCUCUGAGUUCCAAGCUUAUCUCCCAGCAGAAAGCCUUCUUUGCUAAGAUGGUGGUUGAUGUGGUGAUGAUGCUCGAUGAUUUGCUGCAGCUUAAAAUGAUUGGAAUCAAGAAGGUAUAGGGUGGUGCCCUAGAGGAUUCUCAGCUGGUAGCUGGUGUUGCAUUCAAGAAGACUUUCUCUUAUGCUGGGUUUGAAAUGCAACCCAAAAAGUAUGAUAAUCCCAUGAUUGCCCUUUUAUAUGUUGAGCUGGAGUUGAAAGCUGAGAAAGACAAUGCCGAGAUCAGAGUCCACACAGUUGAGGAUUAUCAGGCAAUUGUUGAUGCUGAGUGGAACAUUCUCUAUGACAAGUUAGAGAGGAUCCAUCAUUUUGGAGCCAAAGUCGUCUUGUCCAAACUCUCCAUUGGAGAUGUGGCCACCCAGUACUUUGCUGAUAGGGACAUGUUCUGUGCUGGCCGAGUACCUGAGGAGGAUCUGAAGAGGACAAUGAUGGCCUGUGGAGGCUCAAUCCAGACCAGUGUGAAUGCUCUGUCAAAAAAUGUGCUGGGUCACUGUCAGGUGUUUGAAGAGACCCAGAUUGGCGGCGAAAGGUACAAUUUUUUCACCGGCUGCCCCAAGGCCAAGACAUGCACCUUCAUCCUCCGUGGUGGUGCUGAGCAGUUUAUGGAGGAAACGGAGCGGUCCCUGCAUGAUGCCAUCAUGAUCGUCAGGAGGGCCAUCAAGAAUGAUUCAGUGGUGGCUGGUGGCGGGGCCAUUGAGAUGGAGCUCUCCAAGUACCUGCGGGAUUACUCAAGGACUAUUCCUGGAAAGCAGCAGCUGUUGAUUGGGGCAUAUGCCAAGGCCUUGGAGAUUAUCCCACGCCAGCUGUGUGAUAAUGCUGGCUUUGAUGCCACAAACAUCCUCAACAAGCUGCGGGCUCGGCAUGCCCAGGGGGGCACAUGGUAUGGGGUGGACAUCAACAACGAGGACAUUACUGACAACUUUCAGGCCUUCGUGUGGGAGCCAGCUAUGGUGCGGAUCAAUGCCCUGACAGCAGCCUCAGAGGCGGCGUGCCUUAUCGUGUCCGUAGAUGAAACCAUUAAGAAUCCCGGCUCGACUGUGGAUGCUCCCCCAGCAACUGGCCGGGGCCGAGGUCGUGGCCGUCCCCUUUGAGAGGCAUCCCACUCAUCACGUGACUGGCUGGCUGUAGGGUGCACUUAGUCUCCCUGGCUUGGUUAAUUGGUGUUACAAGGAAAGGAUAUUAAUUGGCCCAUUCUAUUCUCACUGGAUGUUAUUUAAAUAAAACUUAAGACUUCGAAUUAAAAAAAAAA
Microcebus murinus (gray mouse lemur) is the source of this 1947-nucleotide non-coding RNA. Lineage: Eukaryota; Metazoa; Chordata; Mammalia; Primates; Cheirogaleidae. The record is from RefSeq and is a predicted model, not a curated record.